Molecule: ribosomal RNA, 706 nt
Filed under: uncultured bacterium
Lineage: Bacteria
Description: bacterial SSU rRNA
Rfam family: Bacterial small subunit ribosomal RNA
Source: RNAcentral
AGUUUGAUCAUGGCUCAGGACGAACGCUGGCGGCGUGCCUAAUACAUGCAAGUCGAGCGAACCUUUAAAAGCUUGCUUUUAAAGGUUAGCGGCGGACGGGUGAGUAACACGUGGGCAACCUACCUGUAAGACUGGGAUAACUUCGGGAAACCGGAGCUAAUACCGGAUAAUUCUUUUCUACACAUGUAGAAAAGCUGAAAGACGGUUUCGGCUGUCACUUACAGAUGGGCCCGCGGCGCAUUAGCUAGUUGGUGAGGUAAUGGCUCACCAAGGCAACGAUGCGUAGCCGACCUGAGAGGGUGAUCGGCCACACUGGGACUGAGACACGGCCCAGACUCCUACGGGAGGCAGCAGUAGGGAAUCUUCCGCAAUGGACGAAAGUCUGACGGAGCAACGCCGCGUGAGUGAUGAAGGUUUUCGGAUCGUAAAACUCUGUUGUUAGGGAAGAACAAGUACGAGAGUAACUGCUCGUACCUUGACGGUACCUAACCAGAAAGCCACGGCUAACUACGUGCCAGCAGCCGCGGUAAUACGUAGGUGGCAAGCGUUGUCCGGAAUUAUUGGGCGUAAAGCGCGCGCAGGUGGUUUCUUAAGUCUGAUGUGAAAGCCCACGGCUCAACCGUGGAGGGUCAUUGGAAACUGGGGAACUUGAGUGCAGGAGAGAAGAGUGGAAUUCCACGUGUAGCGGUGAAAUGCGUAGAGAUGU